UACGAAGGGUGCAAACGUUGCUCGGAAUUAUUGGGCGUAAAGCGCACGUAGGCGGCUUUGUAAGUCGGAUGUGAAAUCCCUCGGCUUAACCAAGGAAGUGCAUCCGAAACUACAGAGCUUGAGUACUUAAGAGGAUCGCGGAAUUCCCGGUGUAGAGGUGAAAUUCGUAGAUAUCGGGAGGAACACCAGUGGCGAAGGCGGGUCCCUGGACAACACCUGACACUGAGGCACGAAAGCUAGGGGAGCAAACAGG
Molecule: ribosomal RNA, 253 nt
Filed under: uncultured bacterium
Lineage: Bacteria
Description: partial 16S ribosomal RNA
Rfam family: Bacterial small subunit ribosomal RNA
Source: RNAcentral